UGACAUCACAGGACAUCCGGGCC
Molecule: microRNA, 23 nt
Filed under: Oreochromis niloticus (Nile tilapia)
Lineage: Eukaryota; Metazoa; Chordata; Actinopteri; Cichliformes; Cichlidae
Description: oni-miR-10676
Source: miRBase by way of RNAcentral